GUCUAUGUAGUAUACUAAUUACACUGGUCUUGUAAACCAGUAAUGGGGAGACAACUAUCCCCCACAGACU
This 70-nucleotide transfer RNA is filed under the name Scotonycteris occidentalis. Its description in RNAcentral is "Scotonycteris zenkeri occidentalis tRNA-Thr". Lineage: Eukaryota; Metazoa; Chordata; Mammalia; Chiroptera; Pteropodidae. The record is from RNAcentral.